Long non-coding RNA from Daphnia pulicaria, 188 nucleotides. RefSeq lists it as uncharacterized. Lineage: Eukaryota; Metazoa; Arthropoda; Branchiopoda; Diplostraca; Daphniidae. The record is from RefSeq and is a predicted model, not a curated record. The transcript is spliced from 2 exons.
CACAUCAAUCAACAGCAUUACUCCACAUGUUGAGAUAAAUUUCCUGGUGCUAAAGAAAGUGUCAUGAAGUAUUGCAGUAGCGUGGUGAUAGGUUAUUCACUUCACACGCUUCAUGUCUCUGAAACUGUAAGUGGGAAUGGGACAAGGAAAUUCUCUACAUUAGUUACAAAUUUACACAAAUUUACCUA